UCCCAGACUCCUACGGGAGGCAGCAGUGGGGAAUAUUGGGCAAUGGGCGAAAGCCUGACCCAGCAAUGCCGCGUGAAUGAAGAAGGUCUUAGGAUUGUAAAAUUCUGUCCUAUGGGAAGAAACAAAUGACGGUACCAUAGGAGGAAGCCCCGGCUAACUACGUGCCAGCAGCCGCGGUAAUACGUAGGGGGCGAGCGUUAUCCGGAUUUACUGGGUGUAAAGGGAGCGUAGACGGUUCUGCAAGUCUGAAGUGAAAGCCCGUGGCUUAACCGCGGAACGGCUUUGGAAACUGUGGAACUGGAGUGCUGGAGAGGCAAGCGGAAUUCCUAGUGUAGCGGUGAAAUGCGUAGAUAUUAGGAGGAACACCAGUGGCGAAGGCGGCCUGCUGGACUGCAACUGACGUUGAGGCCCGAAAGCGUGGGGAGCAAACAGGAUUAGAUACCCCCGUA
Molecule: ribosomal RNA, 449 nt
Filed under: uncultured bacterium
Lineage: Bacteria
Description: bacterial SSU rRNA
Rfam family: Bacterial small subunit ribosomal RNA
Source: RNAcentral